GUCAUUGGAACAAGCCUUGCUCGGUCGUCAGUGUGGAUGUUCCUGGGUCCCCUAGAACACUCGAAAUCUCCCCAAAAAUACCAGAGAGUAGCGCACUGAAUGAUAUUCCAUGGUCUGGAUGUGCCACAGUUUGUUUAUUCACCUACAGAAGGAAAUCUUGGUUGUUUCCAAGUUUGGGCAAUUAUGAAUGAAGCUGCUAUAGAAAUAUAUGUGUGUGUUCGGAGUUUCUUCCUUCUGAUGGAUUCGUGGUCUCCCUGGCUGAGGAGUGAAGCCGUAAACCUUCGCGGUGAGUUUUACAGCUCUUAAGGCAGGGCGUCUGGAGUUGUUCCCUCCUUCCAGUGGGCUCAUCAUCUCGCUGGCUUCAGAAAUGAAACUGCAGACUCUCCAGACAAGUGUUACAACUGCUAAGGCGACGCUUCUGGAGUUGUUCGUUCCUCUCGGUGGGCUCGUGGCUUCGCUGGCUUCAGAAGUGAGACUACAGAUCUUCCCGUGGCACAUGGACACCCAAGAACUUAAGGAGGUCAGAGAAAAUCUCAAAAGAAUAUGCAAAAUUUGUCCAGAUUUUUUAUCCGUGAUUGAACUUGAACCCCUGAGUUUGGUGAAAUUCCAAUAUAACUGUCUGGGAGAUCAUCAGAAACUAAUAGUCUUUGAGGAUGCAGGUGUAAUGAAGAGAGAUUGGAGAGAUUAAAGCUCUAUGCAGUGGACUUGAUAUUGUGAUUAAGGAUUAUAGACUAAAAAUUGUGAUAAAUUUACAAAAACAGACGGCCCUUAUUAAAGGGGGAAAGAAAAAAAAACACGCACACCCUAAGGCCCCGCUGGGAUUCGAACCCAGGAUCUCCUGUUUACGAGACAGGCGCUUUAGCCAACUAAGCCACAGAGCCAGCCGUGCUGAUUCUGUGGCUUCUUUUAUGACCGAAUUGCACUUAAUUAGGUGACAAAUUCUGUUGCCAUUAAGAGUUACUGUGUUUUCGAAUACAUCAACUUUGCAGUAAAGGCAGACUCCUGAAAGGAACUUCUAGAAAUUAGACUCCCUUCAAGUCCAACAAAACACACCCACACUCACACAAUCACUUAGAAAAUGUGCUUAGAACAAUGUCAGCGCGUCCCAGAGGGCAAAUAAAACCGUGAAAUCGGAGAGUGGAGAUGAACCAUGUUCCCAGCGGAGGAAGAGGCAUCGGUCUCUAGACGUGGCGAGAGCAGUUUUUACAUUCCAUGGCAUUGCGGUGAUUUCGAAUCAUCAAGUGGUUGGAUUCUAAAAGUGGAGUGAAAAGCUUUUCUAGCAAAACAGAUCAUUCAGAAUUUUCAUCACAUUAAUGGCUUUUCUGGCCAAUUAGAAGAUAGCACACGGAUGCGCUGAAAAACAAAAACUGUUAACGCGUUCAGACUCUCCAAACAGCUGCCAGAUCACUGCUUUAGAGAAAGCAGGCGACAGCUGGGAGGCGACCUGGUCGGAGCUCACUUAACGGUUUUGUAUUUCAAAUCCAAAGAGACUUUGCCUGCUCGAGGCUUGUGUUCCCGCGGCUCCUGAGAGGGGGCACAGAUGGAAACCAGAAGGGGAGGCGUCACCGGACAGGGUCUUUCCUAAUUCUGCCUUCCUCAUUUUGGUUCUUCAAGCUUCAAUUAGAUGUUUCCUAAUAUCUUCCUUAUGGAUCCGCACCUUGUAGAAGCUAAACAAACAUUAAUUGAUUGAAAAAUCCCCAAAUUAAGAUCCAUUCUGAAACUGUUAACGAUUGUAUCCUAGUUUUCUGCCUUUGCUUAGUACUGAGGCUGGUGCCAAAGUGAGGGAGUGAGUUCACCAAAUAAAGCAAGCGUCUCUGCACAUUACCCAGCUUCCCCGCCAUGUUAAAAAGACAACAGGGAGGACUACAAAAUUCCCUAUUUAACCUGGCAAAGGCUGUAAGGGGCUCUGGGCCGGAUAAUGCCCUUGAAUCCUAAAGUCUUUCUUAAUUCCUCUCUUGAGCCAAAAUUUGGAGCAUUGCCAUUUCGUAUCCCAUUCAGAAUGUUUUUGUAGUGAAUAUAAACUUAUUUUCCUGUUAACCAAGAUAGUCACGUUUUAAUUUAAUAUAGAUUAACAAACUGUUAUGAUUAGACCUGUACUAACAGUUACUGUAUUAAGAGUUACUGUAUAUUUACUGAGUU
Homo sapiens (human) is the source of this 2139-nucleotide long non-coding RNA. NCBI's taxonomy places the organism in Eukaryota, Metazoa, Chordata, Mammalia, Primates, Hominidae. The record is from Ensembl.